CCCUUAGAUGUUCUGGGCUGCACGCGCGCUACACUGAUGCACUCAACGAGUUUACGAGCUUGUCCGAGAGGAUUGGCUAAUCUUUUUAAAAUGCAUCGCGAUGGGGAUAGAUUGUUGCAAUUAUUAAUCUUCAACGAGGAAUUCCUAGUAAGCGCGAGUCACCAGCUCGUGCUGAUUACGUCCCUGCCCUUUGUACACACCGCCCGUCGAUCCUACCGAUUGAAUGCUCAGGUGAAUAAUUCGGACUGCAGCAGUGUUUGGAUCCCGAACGCUGCAGCGGAAAGUUUAGUGAACCUUCACACUUAGAGGAAGGAGAANUCGUANCA
This 326-nucleotide ribosomal RNA is filed under the name uncultured eukaryote. Its description in RNAcentral is "partial 18S ribosomal RNA". It matches the Rfam family "Eukaryotic small subunit ribosomal RNA", at positions 1470 to 1796 of the family's 1831-position model. The record is from RNAcentral.